RNAcentral lists this ribosomal RNA (468 nucleotides) under uncultured bacterium. RNAcentral describes it as "partial 16S ribosomal RNA". It matches the Rfam family "Bacterial small subunit ribosomal RNA", at positions 28 to 507 of the family's 1533-position model. The record is from RNAcentral.
GACGAACGCUGGCGGCGUGCUUAACACAUGCAAGUCGAACGGAAAGGCCCUUCUUUUGUGGGGUGCUGGAGUGGCGAACCGAUGAGUAGCGCGUGAGUAACCUGCCCUUCACUCUUGUAUAACAUAACGAAACUGGGGCGAAUACCAUAUAGGAUCUUCUGCUGCAUGGUGGUGGUGGGACAGUUUCGGCGGUUGGGUAUGUACUCGCGGCGUAUCAGCUGGUUGGUGGGGUUGUGGCUUACCAAGGCUUUGACGGGUAGCCGGCCUGAGCGGGUGACCGGCACCAUUGGGACUGAUACACGGGCCAGAAGUCGAGGGGAGGGAGCAGUGGGGGAUAGUGCGCUGCGGGCGGACGCCUUGUGCAGUAAAGCCGCGUGCGGUAUGACGGCCUUCGGGUUGUAAACCGCUUUCGCCUGUGACGAAGCGUGAGUGACGGUAAUGGGUAAAGAAGCACCGGCUAACUACGUG